AGUGAACGCUGGCGGUAGGCCUAACACAUGCAAGUCGAACGGCAGCACAGUAAGAGCUUGCUCUUACGGGUGGCGAGUGGCGGACGGGUGAGGAAUACAUCGGAAUCUACUUUUUCGUGGGGGAUAACGUAGGGAAACUUACGCUAAUACCGCAUACGACCUACGGGUGAAAGCAGGGGAUCUUCGGACCUUGCGCGAUUGAAUGAGCCGAUGUCGGAUUAGCUAGUUGGCGGGGUAAAGGCCCACCAAGGCGACGAUCCGUAGCUGGUCUGAGAGGAUGAUGAGCCACACUGGAACUGAGACACGGUCCAGACUCCUACGGGAGGAAGCAGUGGGGAAUAUUGGACAAUGGGCGCAAGCCUGAUCCAGCCAUACCGCGUGGGUGAAGAAGGCCUUCGGGUUGUAAAGCCCUUUUGUUGGGAAAGAAAAGCAGCAGGUUAAUACCCCGCUGUUCUGACGGUACCCAAAGAAUAAGCACCGGCUAACUUCGUG
RNAcentral lists this ribosomal RNA (492 nucleotides) under uncultured bacterium. Its description in RNAcentral is "partial 16S ribosomal RNA". It matches the Rfam family "Bacterial small subunit ribosomal RNA", at positions 29 to 507 of the family's 1533-position model. The record is from RNAcentral.